This 100-nucleotide ribosomal RNA is filed under the name uncultured bacterium. RNAcentral describes it as "partial 16S ribosomal RNA". It matches the Rfam family "Bacterial small subunit ribosomal RNA", at positions 1367 to 1482 of the family's 1533-position model. The record is from RNAcentral.
UGUGUUCCUGAGCCUUGUACACACCGCCCGUCAAGCCACGAAAGAGAGGAGCGCCCGAAGUCGCGUUAAAGUGCCGAAGGCGAAACUCUUGAUUGGGACU